RNAcentral lists this ribosomal RNA (253 nucleotides) under uncultured bacterium. Its description in RNAcentral is "partial 16S ribosomal RNA". It matches the Rfam family "Bacterial small subunit ribosomal RNA", at positions 524 to 776 of the family's 1533-position model. The record is from RNAcentral.
UACGUAGGGACCAAGCGUUGUUCGGAUUUACUGGGCGUAAAGGGCGCGUAGGCGGCGCGGUAAGUCACUUGUGAAAUCUCUGAGCUUAACUCAGAACGGCCAAGUGAUACUGCAGUGCUAGAGUGUGGAAGGGGCAAUCGGAAUUCUUGGUGUAGCGGUGAAAUGCGUAGAUAUCAAGAGGAACACCUGAGGCGAAGGCGGGUUGCUAGGCUGACACUGACGCUGAAGCGCGAAAGCCAGGGGAGCAAACGGG